AUUGAACGCUGGCGGCAGGCCUAACACAUGCAAGUCGAGUGGUAGAGAGAAGCUUGCUUCUCUUGAGAGCGGCGGACGGGUGAGUAAUGCCUAGGAAUCUGCCUGGUAGUGGGGGAUAACGUUCGGAAACGGACGCUAAUACCGCAUACGUCCUACGGGAGAAAGCAGGGGACCUUCGGGCCUUGCGCUAUCAGAUGAGCCUAGGUCGGAUUAGCUAGUUGGUGAGGUAAUGGCUCACCAAGGCGACGAUCCGUAACUGGUCUGAGAGGAUGAUCAGUCACACUGGAACUGAGACACGGUCCAGAAUCCUACGGGAGGCAGCAGUGGGGAAUAUUGGACAAUGGGCGAAAGCCUGAUCCAGCCAUGCCGCGUGUGUGAAGAAGGUCUUCGGAUUGUAAAGCACUUUAAGUUGGGAGGAAGGGCAGUUACCUAAUACGUGAUUGUUUUGACGUUACCGACAGAAUAAGCACCGGCUAACUCUGUGCCAGCAGCCGCCGUAA
RNAcentral lists this ribosomal RNA (500 nucleotides) under uncultured bacterium. RNAcentral describes it as "partial 16S ribosomal RNA". It matches the Rfam family "Bacterial small subunit ribosomal RNA", at positions 30 to 523 of the family's 1533-position model. The record is from RNAcentral.